UACGUAGGGGGCAAGCGUUAUCCGGAUUUACUGGGUGUAAAGGGGGCGCAGACGGCGAUGCAAGCCAGGAGUGAAAGCCCGUGGCCCAACCCCGGGACUGCUCUUGGAACUGCGUGGCUGGAGUGCAGGAGGGGCAGGCGGAAUUCCUGGUGUAGCGGUGAAAUGCGUAGAUAUCAGGAGGAACACCGGUGGCGAAGGCGGCCUGCUGGACUGCAACUGACGUUGAGGCCCGAAAGCGUGGGGAGCAAACAGG
RNAcentral lists this ribosomal RNA (253 nucleotides) under uncultured bacterium. RNAcentral describes it as "partial 16S ribosomal RNA". It matches the Rfam family "Bacterial small subunit ribosomal RNA", at positions 524 to 776 of the family's 1533-position model. The record is from RNAcentral.